RNAcentral lists this ribosomal RNA (371 nucleotides) under Xenentodon cancila (freshwater garfish). RNAcentral's name for it is "partial small subunit ribosomal RNA". It matches the Rfam family "Bacterial small subunit ribosomal RNA", at positions 856 to 1395 of the family's 1533-position model. The record is from RNAcentral. Lineage: Eukaryota; Metazoa; Chordata; Actinopteri; Beloniformes; Belonidae.
AAUUACAUCUUAUCCGCCUGGGUACUACGAGCUCUAGCUUAAAAUCCAAAGGACUUGGCGGUGUUUAGACCCACCUAGAGGAGCCUGUUCUAGAACCGACAACCCCCGUUCAACCUCACCCUCCCUUGUUUAUCCCGCCUAUAUACCGCCGUCGUCAGCUUACCCUGUGAAGGACUAAUAGUAAGCAAAACUAGUAUAACUUAAAACGCCAGGUCGAGGUGUAGCGCAUGGGAGGGGAAGAAAUGGGCUACAUUCCCUAAUUAAGGGCAUACGAAAUAUAUAAUGAAAAAAGUAUCAGAAGGAGGAUUUAGCAGUAAGCAGAAAAUAGAGUGUUCUACUGAAACUGGCCCUGAAGCGCGCACACACCGCCC